Molecule: ribosomal RNA, 828 nt
Filed under: Acinetobacter haemolyticus
Lineage: Bacteria; Pseudomonadati; Pseudomonadota; Gammaproteobacteria; Moraxellales; Moraxellaceae
Description: bacterial SSU rRNA
Rfam family: Bacterial small subunit ribosomal RNA
Source: RNAcentral
UCGACGCAGAGUNNGUNNCACCACAGNGCGAGUAGUUUCUCNCCGCACAGAAGAUGAACGCUGCGCAGCUACACAUGCAGUCGAGCGGGGGAAGGUAGCUUGCUACUGGACCUAGCGGCGGACGGGUGAGUAAUGCUUAGGAAUCUGCCUAUUAGUGGGGGACAACAUCUCGAAAGGGAUGCUAAUACCGCAUACGUCCUACGGGAGAAAGCAGGGGAUCUUCGGACCUUGCGCUAAUAGAUGAGCCUAAGUCGGAUUAGCUAGUUGGUGGGGUAAAGGCCUACCAAGGCGACGAUCUGUAGCGGGUCUGAGAGGAUGAUCCGCCACACUGGGACUGAGACACGGCCCAGACUCCUACGGGAGGCAGCAGUGGGGAAUAUUGGACAAUGGGGGGAACCCUGAUCCAGCCAUGCCGCGUGUGUGAAGAAGGCCUUAUGGUUGUAAAGCACUUUAAGCGAGGAGGAGGCUACUCUAGUUAAUACCUAGAGAUAGUGGACGUUACUCGCAGAAUAAGCACCGGCUAACUCUGUGCCAGCAGCCGCGGUAAUACAGAGGGUGCGAGCGUUAAUCGGAUUUACUGGGCGUAAAGCGUGCGUAGGCGGCUUAUUAAGUCGGAUGUGAAAUCCCCGAGCUUAACUUGGGAAUUGCAUUCGAUACUGGUGAGCUAGAGUAUGGGAGAGGAUGGUAGAAUUCCAGGUGUAGCGGUGAAAUGCGUAGAGAUCUGGAGGAAUACCGAUGGCGAAGGCAGCCAUCUGGCCUAAUACUGACGCUGAGGUACGAAAGCAUGGGGAGCAAACAGGAUUAGAUACCCUGGUAGUCCAUGCCGUA